RNAcentral lists this ribosomal RNA (490 nucleotides) under uncultured bacterium. RNAcentral describes it as "partial 16S ribosomal RNA". It matches the Rfam family "Bacterial small subunit ribosomal RNA", at positions 30 to 507 of the family's 1533-position model. The record is from RNAcentral.
AUUGAACGCUGGCGGCAGGCCUAACACAUGCAAGUCGAACGGUAACAGAAAGCAGCUUGCUGCUUUGCUGACGAGUGGCGGACGGGUGAGUAAUGUCUGGGAAACUGCCUGAUGGAGGGGGAUAACUACUGGAACCGGUACCAAAUACCGCUUACCUCCCCAAACCAAAAGAGGGGGACCUUCGGGCCCCUUGCCAUCGGAUGUGCCCAGAUGGGAUUAGCUAGUAGGUGGGGUAAAGGCUCACCUAGGCGACGAUCCCUAGCUGGUCUGAGAGGAUGACCAGCCACACUGGAACUGAGACACGGUCCAGACUCCUACGGGAGGCAGCAGUGGGGAAUAUUGCACAAUGGGCGCAAGCCUGAUGCAGCCAUGCCGCGUGUGUGAAGAAGGCCUUCGGGUUGUAAAGUACUUUCAGCGGGGAGGAAGGGAGUAAAGUUAAUACCUUUGCUCAUUGACGUUACCCGCAGAAGAAGCACCGGCUAACUCCGUG